Molecule: long non-coding RNA, 1615 nt
Organism: Callithrix jacchus (white-tufted-ear marmoset)
Lineage: Eukaryota; Metazoa; Chordata; Mammalia; Primates; Cebidae
Source: RefSeq, a predicted model, not a curated record
GAAACUUCAAGCAGAAAGAGGACGAAGUUCACAGCGCCGUUACUGGGGUUCUGCGACGUUCCCACGGCCGUCUCCCAGGCCCCAGGCCUCCGGCCUUCUGUCUGUCAAGGAUGAAGGCGACCUUGCUCAGACUGCAGGAGAUGGAGGAACGUGACCCAGCGGAGGGGCCUUCGGCUGCGGGUGCGACAGGCGGCCGGAGGGGUGAAGGCAGGGAGAGCGCGGUCAGUGCUGCGGGCUAGCGGCCUCCCCGCCGGCCGGGGAAUGCGUCCCCAGCUCCAGCCGCAUCUCGCCGCCUCUAUGGCAUCUCUGGGGCUUCAGAGGGAAGCUGCCCGACCCGGAGGCUUGAAAUCCGCCCUUUGUUCCCUCCCGGGACGUCAGAGCCACAACUCACUAAGGGCGGCCGCCUCGGCAGCCGGAAGCGCGGGCCAGCGGCAACUUCGGGUCUGCGCAGGCGCAGGCCGGGGAAGCCGGGAGCGGCCGGGUUUCUGUGGCCCGCGGCUGCCCUCUCGUGGCCGCAAGGCGGCAUGGCACGGCCGCUUCCACGCAGCGGCGUUGGGCGGGAGGCGGCAGGGCAGGCCAGCCGGGGAGGCCAGCCAAACGCUGUGUUUUUCCAGGUCCGCGCGGGCCAGGGGAACCCUGCGUGUUUGCUUGAUGGGAGUGGUUUACUGGGAAACUAGACGGAAGGUAUCCUGCAAAUCGGCAUGCACUGUAUUGUUUAGGAGCCAACAGCCUGGAAAGUAAAUACCAGCUUUUUGUGCCCCACCCUGUUCUUGUCUCAAGAAGUCGACUUGGAAUGUUUCCUCUUGUCCGCGGUUUGAAGAUGAGUCACCAAAAACAUCACCCUGCCCUUGCGGAAGUGCGUGUUGGCUGCUCGGCCAUUUCACCUGUAUGCCCCAGGAUGGUUUGCUAAGGAGAUGGUUUCUUCAGGGCUCCACUCUUUUUCAUGCCCUUCUCAGCUCCAGACUACAUCCCAUCGAUGGACAUUAUCCUGUACCCCCCGGGGGAGGAGAGUGGGGGAGAGUUUCUGUGCCUGGAUUAUUGGUGGAGGAGAGCAAGUGCAGCAAUGAAGCUAUGACUUUUGCAGAAGUCAUGCAUUCCGUUCAAGGAUAGUCCUUUCUGUAGCCUCCACACAUUCCCUCUCACUGCAGGCCCCUGGGGUUUUACUGUGUGACCGGGUCAUAUUGCAUCUGCAUAGAUUAUCAACGCACCUCAUGACUGUGGAGGAAGAAGUCUGGGACAGAACAUGGGUCUGGAAGGCUCGCAGCAUGGACUUGGUCAGGUGACACAAUGUCCCAUGUUCUUCAAGAAGUGUCUAGACUAGGUGACUGAUUCUAUUGGAGAUCUAGCACAGUGCUCUUGCCACAGAGAGGGGCAAAUUGAGAUCCAGAGAGAAGUGACCGGCCCAGGUCACUCAGCCAGCUGGUGACUGAGCUGGAAAUCAUUCCCAGGUCUCCUGACACCCAGUUCAUUCAUUUUUUGCACAUACUUCCAAGGAUUUACUGUAUGCUAGGCACUGUUCUGGGUGCUGGGAAUCUACGAAGUGCCUGUAUAGAGUUUGUGUCUUGUAGUGUGUAUGUGGGGAGGUUGUGGAUAAACAAAUAAACAGAUUUAUCCA